CAGGAAAUAAUCUUCAUCCAUCCUUUCUUCAUGUAUUUCUCUCUAAGGAAAAGACAAGAGUUGGAAUCAUUUUGGGUUUUGAAGAGUAAAGAUAGGUAUAUGCUGUUUUGGCUUGUUAUUUUGAGUGCAAAAUUUGCGUUUGCUUACUUUCUUCAGAUCAGGCCUCUAGUGGACCAAACAAUGACUAUUAUAAAAGAG
Molecule: long non-coding RNA, 198 nt
Organism: Glycine soja
Lineage: Eukaryota; Viridiplantae; Streptophyta; Magnoliopsida; Fabales; Fabaceae
Exons: 3
Source: RefSeq, a predicted model, not a curated record